Molecule: long non-coding RNA, 835 nt
Filed under: Numida meleagris (helmeted guineafowl)
Lineage: Eukaryota; Metazoa; Chordata; Aves; Galliformes; Numididae
Description: lncRNA (ENSNMEG00000001455.1)
Source: RNAcentral
CUCUUGAGAGUGUUAAAGUCCUGAUGUUACAUAUUUUUGUAACUAGCAGGGCAUAUUAACCACUGUGUGAAGCCUGAGCUACCCAAACAGCCUUCACAGCCACAUGGACUAUAAGCAAGGAGUCAGUUUGUAGAAGCUUGGCGUUAUGGACAAGGCAAUUCUGAAUUUCUUCUGCAAAAAUGAAGUGGCAUACUAUGACAAAUCUAUCACCUGCUCCAGGAAUACUUGCAUUGCUAACUGAAAAGCUGGAAUUUCUCUUGCAGAGACAAGAUCACUCCUGUAGUUCUUUACUAAAGAAAUUUCCAGUAUGGUAUGAACUCUUUGUUCUAGACUAGAACAGUCUGCAUCAUCUGUCUCUUGUCUCCUCUGUCAUGUUCACUCCAUCAAAUCAAGGGAUUAGGAGUCGUCUUAAUACUUUUGUUUCCUGUCCAUACUGCUCCUACAAGGAGACUGAUCUACAGGAGAUGCCAUUAGAUUCUGGUGACUUACAGUGGCCAAAGACAUGCUUUCCUAGCAUGACGCACAGCAGAGCUGGUGAUGAAGAGGCUUCCUGCACACAUGUAUCUGGAAUCAUCAAGGUCAAGGGCUUGUUGUCACUUCUCGGACUGAUCUGGAUGGCCAAGAGGUGUGAACAUUGGAGUCCUCUGUGCUGCACCAGGCAGAAUGUGCAUGUGUAGGGUUGUGACACCCUGGUGGGACAUUUCUUUCACAUGUCAGCAUGAUUGACAGCCAACUGCCAUCCCCAUAUCACAUUCAUGUAACAAUGGCCUGGAUUUCACCUGAGCAACAGAGGAAUCUGUUGGAGAGAUUUGAGCCAGGUGGGUAAGAAGCUGAU